AAUCAACGCUGGCGGCGUGCCUAACACAUGCAAGUCGAACGCGAAAGCCCCUUCGGGGGUAAGUAGAGUGGCGUCCGGGUGAGUAACACGUGGGUAAUCUACCUUCGGGUGGGGAAUAACUCAGGGAAACUUGAGCUAAUACCGCAUAAUGCAGCGGCACCUAAUGGUGAUUAGUUGUUAAAGCGGGGGAUCGCAAGACCUCGCGCCUGAAGAGGAGCCUGCGGCAGAUUAGCUAGNGGUGAGGUAAUGGCUCACCAAGGCUUCGAUCUGUAGCUGGUCUGAGAGGACGGCCAGCCACACUGGCACUGACACACGGGCCAGACUCCUACGGGAGGCAGCAGUGGGGAAUUUUGGGCAAUGGGCGAAAGCCUGACCCAGCAACGCCGCGUGAGGGAGGAAAUCCUUCGGGAU
Molecule: ribosomal RNA, 411 nt
Filed under: uncultured bacterium
Lineage: Bacteria
Description: bacterial SSU rRNA
Rfam family: Bacterial small subunit ribosomal RNA
Source: RNAcentral